GGAUUUUGCUCACUACAAAUCAGGCGUCUACAAACAUGUAACCGGUGAUGUUAUGGGAGGCCAUGCUGUGAAGUUGAUCGGUUGGGGGACCAGUGAGGAUGGUGAUGAUUAUUGGCUUCUUGCAAAUCAGUGGAAUAAAGGCUGGGGUGAUGAUGGUUUCUUCAAGAUAAGACGAGGAACGAAUGAAUGUGGGAUUGAAGAGGACCCUGUUGCGGGAUUGCCUUCGACCAGGAAUAUGAUCCGAAACUAUGCUGGCAUGGAGGCAACUGGUGAUGCAGCAUUAUAAUUUCAAUUAAUCCUAUAUGAAAUUACUUGUAUUUGUGUUAUGAAGAUCUCAAGCAAGGAACUUUAUCCCCGAUUAUGUAUUAAUACCUUGUUGCCUCUGGAAGAACUCUUAGUGAUGUAUAUAUAAGCAUUUGUGAAGUUGAUU
This 430-nucleotide unclassified non-coding RNA is filed under the name Hevea brasiliensis (rubber tree). Lineage: Eukaryota; Viridiplantae; Streptophyta; Magnoliopsida; Malpighiales; Euphorbiaceae. The record is from RNAcentral.